AACGCACAUAGCUUCAGAAAGUUAGAGGUGCGUGUCCCGAAUCGAACCCCACACCCCUGAAUAGGAGGCCAACGACUUAUGAUCAAAAUCAUAUUAU
Long non-coding RNA from Maniola jurtina (meadow brown), 97 nucleotides. RefSeq lists it as uncharacterized. NCBI's taxonomy places the organism in Eukaryota, Metazoa, Arthropoda, Insecta, Lepidoptera, Nymphalidae. The transcript has 3 exons. The record is from RefSeq and is a predicted model, not a curated record.